NNCGACCUGAGAUCAGGCGGGACCACCCGCUGAAUUUAAGCAUAUUACUAAGCGGANGAAAAGAAACUAACNAGGAUUCCCCCAGUAACGGCNAGUGAAGAGGGAAGAGCCCAGCGCCGAAUCGGCGGUGAUCUGAGCGGGCAGCGCGAAAUGUGGCGUUUGCGACGUCCGAUGCBANAGUKACUGGCGUCCGAGUCCUCCUGAUCGGGCCUNNCCCAGAGCGGGUGUCAGGCCUCUACGGCGCCGGUUCUUCGUCGCCCGUCGGKCGUUGCCGGAGUCGGGUUGUUUGGGAAGBCAGCCCAAAGUGGGUGGUAAACUCCAUCKAAGGCUAAAUVCAGUCACGAGACCGAUAG
Molecule: ribosomal RNA, 353 nt
Filed under: Paralvinella hessleri
Lineage: Eukaryota; Metazoa; Annelida; Polychaeta; Terebellida; Alvinellidae
Description: partial 28S ribosomal RNA
Rfam family: Eukaryotic large subunit ribosomal RNA
Source: RNAcentral